AUUGAACGCUGGCGGCAGGCCUAACACAUGCAAGUCGAGCGAGCGGCACGCGUGAGUGAAAUGUAUGGGGCUCUGCCCGAGAGAGGGGGAUACAUUCUGGAAAGUGUGGCUAAUACCGCAAAACAUCGGAUGCCCCUAUAUGGGAUUAGCUGGGAGGUGGGGUAAAGGCUCACCUAGGCGACGAUCUCUAGCUGUUCUGAGAGGAGGACAAGCCACACUGGGAAUGAGAAACGGCCCAGACUCCUACGGGAGGCAGCAGUGGGGAAUAUUGGACAAUGGGCGAAAGCCUGAUGCAGCCAUGCCGCGUGUAUGAAGAAGGCCUUAGGGUUGUAAAGUACUUUCAGCGGGGAGGCGUUACCUGCAGAAGAAGCACCGGCUAACUACGUGCCAGCAGCCGCGGUAAUUC
This 406-nucleotide ribosomal RNA is filed under the name uncultured bacterium. Its description in RNAcentral is "partial 16S ribosomal RNA". It matches the Rfam family "Bacterial small subunit ribosomal RNA", at positions 30 to 526 of the family's 1533-position model. The record is from RNAcentral.